Dioscorea cayenensis subsp. rotundata (Guinea yam) is the source of this 2509-nucleotide RNA transcript. It is a transcript of the gene named DEAD-box ATP-dependent RNA helicase 14-like, with no coding region annotated. The transcript is spliced from 9 exons. The record is from RefSeq and is a predicted model, not a curated record. NCBI's taxonomy places the organism in Eukaryota, Viridiplantae, Streptophyta, Magnoliopsida, Dioscoreales, Dioscoreaceae.
GAUGUCGGUGGCGUCUAAGGCCCACGGAGAUAAUGGGCCUUAAAGUAUUGUUAUUCAAAGGCCCAUUGACUGACAACAGAGGGAAAGAGUGAGGGUGCCGCGCUGGGUAGGUAUCCUAGGAGUAGGCGGCAGUACCCAGGGGCCAGAACAGGAGGGUCUUCAAAAUCAAAUCGGCCCCUUAUCCCCUACUAGGUAUUCGAUUCAUCUUCAUCUUCGUCUCUUGGCCAGCAUGACGGUGAAGUCGUCGGACAGCCCUCGUUAUGCCCCUUAUGAUCCAUCCCUUCCAAAGCCUUGGCGAGCCCUCGUCGAUGGCAGGAACGGCAACCUCUAUUUCUGGAAUCCUCUCACCAAGGUCACUCAGUAUGAACGCCCCUCUGCCUCUGAGCCCGAGAAUCGGGGUGCUCAAAGUUGCAGCGCUCCUUCAUCUGAUGGUCCGGCCAUCAUCAAUGCUUCUACCAGUGGUAGUGGACAGACCAGCUUGCCCAACCCGAGGGUACCUGCCCUUACCGCGGGGAAUGAUUCGCCUGCUGGUCUUUCCGCAGAAGCCUAUCGCCGCCACCAUGAGAUCACCGUCAUUGGAAAUCAUGUACCUCCACCAUACACUACAUUCCAGUCUGCAGGUUUUCCUUCGGAGAUUCUCAGAGAGUUACAACAUGCAGGUUUUUCUGCUCCCACACCCAUCCAGGCUCAGUCAUGGCCAAUUGCUUUAGAUGGCCGUGACAUUGUUGCUGUUGCAAAAACUGGUUCAGGAAAAACGUUGGGUUAUCUUAUUCCAGGAUUUAUUCGUCUAAAGAAGCUUGGUAGCAAUUCUCAAAUGGGCCCACUAGUUUUGGUUCUCUCACCAACUAGAGAGCUGGCAACACAAAUACAGGAUGAAGCUGUGAAGUUUGGUAGAUCAUCUAGAGUUUCCAGUGUGUGCUUAUAUGGAGGUGCCCCAAAAGGACCCCAGUUGAGAGAUUUGAGUAAAGGUGCUCAUGUUGUGGUGGCAACUCCUGGGAGGUUGAAUGACAUUUUAGAAAUGAAAAAAGUGAGUCUUCAUCAAGUUUCAUAUCUAGUACUUGAUGAAGCAGAUCGAAUGUUGGACAUGGGGUUUGAGCCACAGAUACGGAGAAUUGUGAAAGAAAUACCUCCACGUCGUCAGACUCUUAUGUACACUGCUACAUGGCCAAAGGAGGUCAGGAAAAUUGCUGCAGAUUUACUAGUUAAUCCUGUGCAGGUUAACAUCGGCAGCAUUGAUGAGCUUGUUGCUAACAAAUCUAUAACUCAGCAUGUGGAAAUGAUUUCACCUAUGGAGAAACGGAAACGGUUGGAACAGAUUCUCCACUCACAGGAGCCAGGCUCCAAAAUCAUUAUAUUUUGUUCUACCAAAAGGAUGUGCGAUCAACUUGCUAGGAACCUUGGUCAUCAGUUUGGUGCCAAUGCUAUCCAUGGUGAUAAAUCCCAAAAUGAGAGGGAUUUGGUUUUGAACCAGUUCCGAACAGGGAAGUCUCCUAUACUUGUUGCUACUGAUGUUGCUGCUAGAGGCCUGGACAUAAAAGACAUAAGGGUUGUGAUCAACUAUGAUUUCCCUACGGGAGUUGAAGACUAUGUGCACAGGAUUGGCAGAACAGGUCGGGCUGGUGCCACUGGUGUUUCUUAUACCUUCUUAAGUGAUCAAGACGCAAGGUAUGCAUCAGAUCUUGUCAAAGUUCUGGAAGGAGCAGACCAGUGUGUCCCUUCUGAGCUAAGGGAUAUGGCAGCACAAGGUGGAUAUGGAGGAAGAUUUCGCCGGUGGCGUUCUGACUCUGGUGCUCAUGAUAGAGUCCAUUCAUAUGGUGGUACUUGUACUGGCUCCAGCUAUGAUAAAAGUCCCUCAUUUGGUGGUGUAUGUAAUGACUCCAGCUAUGACAAAGGUGGUGGAUGGGGUCAACCAUUAUCUUCUGGUUGGUCCGACAGCUUCUGUAAUCAUAGACCAUCACCACCAUUUGAGAGGUGUGACCAUUCUGGUGGUAAGCAUUUGGAUUCACAAGAGCGCGGUAAUAUGAAGACCAUCCAGGAAGCAAGCAAUUCCAGUGCUGGAUGUAGCAAGCGGAGCAGAAGUCGAAGCCGCAGCAGAAGCCCAUCCAGCAAAUGCCAUGGGUGGGGUGUUAACCUUACGGCUGAUCCUCUUUGACAAAGUCCUCCACGGGAGCCAUGUGCAUCUGCUCAAUACAAUGAUGAUGCAGGAAAGAUUUCUGAUGGGCGCGACCGCUCUGCUCCCUAGCACAUGAGUUAAGAUAUCAUGUUUUGGUGCGUGUGGCCUUUAAGAACACUGCAGCUCAAUGCGUUUGUUAUAUGAACACUGGAGGCUGGUGGUAUGGUAUGACUUGUGAGAACUCCACCCAAAUCAAGCCUUGCUUCACCUGCCAGCUGGAUAAAGAAAUGGCAACAACAAAUAGUUUAUAUCUAUUUUAAUACUUAGAGGCUUGUAUUUUAUCUGUUAAUGUGGACACGUUAUUAUUAAUAGCUAAGAUCAUCAGCUAUUCAAUUA